Molecule: ribosomal RNA, 434 nt
Filed under: uncultured bacterium
Lineage: Bacteria
Description: bacterial SSU rRNA
Rfam family: Bacterial small subunit ribosomal RNA
Source: RNAcentral
CUAAACUGAGGAAAGUCGUCCGAUACUGAUCGACUCGAGGGACGUAGAGGGAAGCGGAACUCUCGGAGUAGCGGUGAAAUGCGUAGAGACCGAGAGGUACCCCGAUGGUGAAGACAGCUUCCUGGGUGUCUCCUGACGCUGAAGCGCUAAGGCCAGGGGAGCGAAGGGGAUUAGAUACCCCCGUAGUCCUGGCUUCAAACUAUGUGGGCUUGGCGUCGGCCCCCGACAGAGGGUCGUUGCCGGAGCUAACGUGUUAAGCCCACCGCCUGGGGAUUACGUCCGCAAGGAUGAAACUCAAGGGAAUUGACGGGGGCCCACACAACCGGUGGAGCACGUGGUUUAAUUCGAUGAUAAGCGAAGAACCUUACCAGGGCUUGACCUAGCGGUAGUAGGACCCUGAAAGGGGAACGAACCGAAGCUUUGCUUCGGUAGCC